This 407-nucleotide ribosomal RNA is filed under the name uncultured bacterium. RNAcentral describes it as "partial 16S ribosomal RNA". It matches the Rfam family "Bacterial small subunit ribosomal RNA", at positions 28 to 526 of the family's 1533-position model. The record is from RNAcentral.
GAUGAACGCUAGCGGCAGGCUUAAUACAUGCAAGUCGAGGGACCGGCACACGUGUGCGGAACACGUACACAACCUUCCUUGAAUAGGGGGAUAGCCCAUAGAAAUGUGGAUUAAUACCCCGUAAUUCGAGAUGGGUGUGCGGCUGAUUAGGUAGUUGGCGGGGUAAAGGCCCACCAAGCCUUCGAUCAGUAGCUGAUGUGAGAGCAUGAUCAGCCACACGGGCACUGAGAAACGGGCCCGAUUCCUACGGGAGGCAGCAGUAAGGAAUAUUGGUCAAUGGACGCAAGUCUGAACCAGCCAUGCCGCGUGAAGGAUGAAGGUCUCUGGAUUGUAAACUUCUUUUAUAGGUGGCGCAGUACCCUAUGAAUAAGCACCGGCUAACUCCGUGCCAGCAGCCGCGGUAAUAC